This 253-nucleotide ribosomal RNA is filed under the name uncultured bacterium. RNAcentral's name for it is "partial 16S ribosomal RNA". It matches the Rfam family "Bacterial small subunit ribosomal RNA", at positions 524 to 776 of the family's 1533-position model. The record is from RNAcentral.
UACGUAGGGUGCAAGCGUUAAUCGGAAUUACUGGGCGUAAAGCGUGCGUAGGCGGCUAUGUAAGACAGAUGUGAAAUCCCUGGGCUUAACCUAGGAACUGCAUUUGUGACUGCAUUGCUAGAGUGUGGUAGAGGGAGAUGGAAUUCCGCGUGUAGCAGUGAUAUGCGUAGAUAUGCGGAGGAACACCAAUGGCGAAGGCAAUCUCCUGGACCUGCACUGACGCUCAUGCACGAAAGCGUGGGGAGCAAACAGG